Molecule: small RNA, 107 nt
Filed under: Marmota monax (woodchuck)
Lineage: Eukaryota; Metazoa; Chordata; Mammalia; Rodentia; Sciuridae
Source: RNAcentral
GCCAGGCAUGGUGGUACAUGCCUGUAAUUCUAGCCACUCAGGAGGCUGAGGCAGGAGUAUUGCAAGUUGAAGGCCAGCCUAGGCAACUGGGUGAGAUCCUGUCUCAA